GUAAUACUCGCUCCGUCCGAAAAUUCUUGUCUUAGAUUUGUCUAAAUACGGAUGUAUCAAGUCACGUUUUAGUAUUAGAUACAUCCGUAUCUAGACAAAUCUAAGACAAGAAUUUUGGGACAAAGGGACUAUUAG
Non-coding RNA from Triticum aestivum (bread wheat), 135 nucleotides. Lineage: Eukaryota; Viridiplantae; Streptophyta; Magnoliopsida; Poales; Poaceae. The record is from Rfam.